RNAcentral lists this long non-coding RNA (375 nucleotides) under Homo sapiens (human). RNAcentral's name for it is "HSALNT0054814". Lineage: Eukaryota; Metazoa; Chordata; Mammalia; Primates; Hominidae. The record is from RNAcentral.
CAGAACCUGGAACAAAGGAGCUUCCUGGCCACUGACCUCCUGCUGUAUCAAAUCAGGAAGGUCGAGUGAGUUCUGGAUACAGUGCCACAGGGGAAACUGUCACAGAACAUGUCCACCAUGUUUCCAAAGGCUGCCCUGCCCCAGGAAUGUGGUAAGUCUCCCUGAAACCCGGCUCAUCCUGGCCUCAGUCCUCAGAGAAGGACGUGGUGAUGUCAAUCCUCUCUCCAAAGGAAGGAUGGCACUUCCUCUGACUUCUCCACUUUCUUGCACCCAACUUGGGCCCACAUGGCUCCCGACUUCACUUCAUAACAUGACACAGGAAGACCCAUCCUCCCUUGGCCCCCAACAAAAUGGGCAUUCCGCCCACAAUUCAAC